UACGGGGGAUGCAAGCGUUAUCCGGAUUUAUUGGGUUUAAAGGGUGCGUAGGCUGUGAGGUAAGUCAGCGGUGAAAUGCCCCCGCUCAAUGGGGUGAAGUGCCAUUGAUACUGCCUUGCUGGAAUGCGGAUGCCGUGGGAGGAAUGUGUGGUGUAGCGGUGAAAUGCAUAGAUAUCACACAGAACACCGAUUGCGAAGGCAUCUCACGAAUCCGCGAUUGACGCUGAUGCACGAAAGCGUGGGUAUCAAACAGG
Molecule: ribosomal RNA, 254 nt
Filed under: uncultured bacterium
Lineage: Bacteria
Description: partial 16S ribosomal RNA
Rfam family: Bacterial small subunit ribosomal RNA
Source: RNAcentral